CUUACAUUUUAGGUUACCUAAGGGGACUCUCCUAAGGAGCUGGCUCACCAAAUCACGUCCCCGGCUACUCCUGUUCAUCGCUGGUUUAAAACGACCUCAGGUCACUCUGAUGCGGAGAAAGAGGAUGAAACGUACCAAAGUAGCAAAGGCCACGUAAGCGGUAAAUAGAGUAAUAGAGGUGAGAGGGAGAGAGGAAUCCAUGGUGAGAUAAGGCACUGUGCAUUGUGUAACUAUGUAGUAAUGAUGGGUAGCUGUGUAUGGAGGAAUUAUGGAGUAACAAAUAUGGUACUGUGUAUUGUGUAAUAACGGAGAGACGAUCUGACACUGUGUACUGUGUAAUAACGGAGAGACGAUAGGACGCUGUGUAUUGUGUAAUAACAGAGAGACAACAGGACACUGUGUAUUGUGUAAAAACGGAGAGACGAUCUGAUGCUGUGUAUUGUGUAAUAACGGAGAGACGAUCUGACGCUGUGUAUUGUGUAAUAACGGAGAGACGAUCUGACGCUGUGUAUUGUGUAAUAACGGAGAGACGAUCUGAUGCUGUGUAUUGUGUAAUAACGGAGAGAUGAUAGGACACUGUUGUAGCGGACCCCUGCUAACCCGACCUGUUACCUACACUAAUUCCUUGCCUUCAGCCCCUUAGGAACCACUCAGAGUGUAAAGGGACCCAUUUCCGCCCCAGUAACACGAUUUUAUUAGCCACACGUGGCUUUUAUGCACACACACCUACAAAGACACAUCCCACAAUCCUUCCCCUCCCCGAGGUCCCAGCACGGGAAGGGACUCUGUUCCCUUUGUCCCCAAAGCCCGCCACCUGGGGUUCCCCACACCAACCGCCUCUGUGCCUGGGAGUCUAGGCGUGGGAAAAAGAGACCAUCCCUUUGUCUCCCAAGCACAGAAAACUUCGCCCGCGGGAAAAGAGCUGGUCUCUUUGUCCAUCGGUCUCAUGAGAGCCCACCAAACUCGCCAGUGCCUCAGAAGUGUCCAUACCAAUCUCAGGUAUCCUCGCCUUAGUCUCUCGAUUGACUAGUCUCCGCUCGCGAGGUCCUGGUGUGAAACCAUGACAAGGGAAGCUUCUCCUUUCCCGGUCCGAAUGCUCCCCCUGGAUGGCGUUCUGUACGAAUGGCGGCCACCCAGGAGAGCACUCAUUGAUGAUUUACACCUAUGUUGCGGGCGCUAGUGUUCUGAAUAAUUAGUGUGAAUGUUCUAAUGGGUCACCGGGGAGGCCCUCGUUCAGGAUACGAACGAGUCGAGAAACAAUCCACGAAUGCUCCCCCUGGUGGCGUUCGCCUGUACGAAUGGCGGCCACCCAGGGAAGCACUCAUUAAUUGUUUCCCUUGCAAUUUUGAAACUUAUGUUGCGAGGAGAUUGGGAGGUGUGAACAUGCUAUACUAACAUUCUAAAUGAGGUAUUGGGGUAGUCUCCAUUCGGGAGGUGAAUGUCCUCCAGAGCGGAGAGCGGGCAUAACAAACGAAAAAGGGAAAAUACAUGUGAAAGAAAAGGGAAAUCCAUGAAUAGGCAGUGGUUCUGCCAUAGCUGUGUAUUGUGUAAUAACGGAGAGACGAUAGGACGCUGUGUAUUGUAUAAUAAUGGAGAGACAAUCGGACGCUGUGUAUUGUGUAAUAACAGAGAGACGAUCGAACACUGUGUAUGAUGUAAUAACAGAGAGACAAUCGGACGCUGUUGUGGUGAAAGUAACCUCGCCAUGGGCGCCUGGAGGAGCCUGCUUGCCAGCCUCUUGCCCCUGGACUAUGAGCCCUGUAAAAGCCAUAUGAAAAGACUUAGUUCGUGCCAUUUUCCCAUGCUGGACUGAAACCGAACAGACGCACAAACUAUGGACCACCCUGGAGCCUAUCAUCACCUCUUAACAAAUCUAACCGCAUUGUUCUAAUUGUUCAUCUGGGUGGCCGCAGUUCGUAUGAACAACCACGAGGUGGCAGCCAUAUUGUUUGGACGUCGAGUUCAUGGUACUGAAAUCAGACACUGAAACUCCCAAACACCGCUAGACUUCCAUUAUCGCCUGCAUUUGUUUCUACACCACCUGGAAGGGCACUGUUGGAAUCGUUCGUCUGGAUGAGGGGAACAAGCUACACGGUAUGAUUAUUGACUACAUUCGGUAGUUUGUUCAUUUUUUAAACUACUGAACUUGAUCAACCGCUACCACUUUUUCCCUGGAACUGUUUUGGGCAUAGGACCAUGUGUGCGGUCGGUCAAAUUAUGACUGCCAUGAAAAACCCGAACCCCUGGACCAAUCUGGGUUAUUUUUGGAUACGUUGGUCACCCAGAUCGGGGCUAUCAGGGGAUGUGACUUUUGUGGGGUUUUUGUUUGUGUUUUAGGGGUACUUUUGGAGUGUUUGUAAAUUGUAUGUUUUUCUGUACCUGGAAAUAAUUGAGUUUGUACAGUUCCUGACUCAAUUAUCUCUCAGGCACAGGGGAGGAGUUUGUUACUUGUAUAAAUUCUGUAACUCUGCUGCCAUUAAACAGACUACUUCACAGCAUUAAGCCUUGGCUCAUGUAUGGGGAGAACAGCUAUACUUGCUAUAUCUGCUAUACUCUCUGGGAGCUGGAUGGUCCAGGAUUGGCAGAGACGGGGAGACCCCAGCCGAGAUGUGGCAGCUAGGGACUGGAAGUGCUUAUGGUGUCCUGGUGCAGUGCUUAUAGUACUCGGUGAUAACUAGGAAGUGUGAGUUGGCGGAAGUACCUAGUCGGGGUACCAGGCGGUCCGCCACAGCUGUGUAUUGUGUAAUAACAAAGAGACGAUCGGACACUGUGUAUUGUGUAAUAACGGAGAGAUGAUAGGAUGCUGUGUAUUGUGUAAUAACAGAGAGACGACAGGACGCUGUGUAUUGUGUAAUAACGGAGAGACGAUAGGACACUGUGUAUUGUGUAAUAACGGAGAGACGAUAGGACACUGUGUAUUGUGUAAUAACGGAGAGACGAGUGUAUUGUGUAAUAACGGAGAGACGAUAGAACGCUGUAUAUUGUGUAAUAACGGAGAGACGAUAGGACGCUGUGUAUUGUGUAAUAACGGAGAGACGAUAGGACACUGUGUAUUGUAUAAUAACGGAGAGACGAUAGGACGCUGUGCAUAGUGUAAUAACGGAGAGACGAUAGGACGCUGUGUAUUGUGUAAUAACGGAGAGACGAUAGAACGCUGUAUAUUGUGUAAUAACGGAGAGACAAUAGGACGCUGUGUAUUGUAUAAUAACGGAGAGACGAUAGAACGCUGUAUAUUGUGUAAUAACGGAGAGACGAUAGAACGCUGUAUAUUGUAUAAUAACGGAUAGACGAUAGGACGCUGUGUAUUGUAUAAUAACGGAGAGACGAUAGGACGCUGUGUAUUGUAUAAUAACGGAGAGACGAUAGGACGCUGUGUAUUGUGUAAUAACGGAGAGACGAUAGGACGCUGUGUAUUGUGUAAUAACGGAGAGACGAUAGGACGCUGUGUAUUGUGUAAUAACGGAGAGACAAUAGGACACUGUGUAUUGUGUAAUAACGGAGAGACGAUAGGACGCUGUGUAUUGUGUAAUAACGGAGAGACGAUCGAGAACAGUGUAUGAGCUAAUCAUGAAGUUAUAGGAGGCAGAAAUAAUUGGGUAAUUGUCAAGUUAUGAUGGGCAGCAAUGCUUUGGGUAAUUAUUUAACAAUGAUAUCACGCAGUAAAUUGGGUGGCUGUAGAUUGUGGUGUAUGAAGAUCAAGUAUGAAGAAUGGGGUCUAGUGAAGAAUUAUCAUUCAUGUGGUCAAGUGGUUUAGAACUUACCCAGAUUAUUGUUACAGGUCUAAAUAUUGGUUUUUUCGCAAAGCAUGUGACACUGCGAGAAAAAGGGGUCCACUGGGACUCCAGGCUAGGGAUUCUUUUUCUGAACAAUCACACAAUAUUGUUAUAUAUGUGCUCAGUUAAAGGGCAUGAUUAUCAUUAUUAGAAAUUUGUGCUGAUCAGUACCUUAAAGUUGGUGAUAAAUUAAUGUUCUAUGACAAAAAUUUUAAAUUGUACUAAAAGUUUGCAAUCUAGAUGGGAUGAUGUACUGUAUUUGUAAUAGGUUGUGUUGGAUAUUGCCUCAUUUUGUAUACGAGAGAUUGCAAUAUAUAGUUUCAGCACAACAUAUGUCUCUACAGAGUGAGUGCACGUUCCCCUCAUUUCCCGGAGGAGUUGUUGGCGAGGCCCCGGGGAGAUGCCUGCGGCUGGCACCCGUGAAGAAGGAGAGCAAAGUGAAAGCACCCAAAUAAAAGGAACUGCAGUCUGGACUGUUCUGACCCUUAAGCCUUUGUCUGAGCCCACAAAAAUACAGCCCUAUUAUAUGUACACCCAGCUUGACUGAAUCCUUAUUACGCCAAAAGAAAGAGGAGUCAACCAGAGCAAACAGAGUUAGAAUAGCAAAG
Non-coding RNA from Pelobates cultripes (western spadefoot toad), 4381 nucleotides. Lineage: Eukaryota; Metazoa; Chordata; Amphibia; Anura; Pelobatidae. The record is from the annotation of a GenBank genome assembly.